CCGGUUUCUGUCUCAGUUGUACCGACGAACCUAAAAGAUCUAAGCAAUAAGCAAAAGGGAGACCGGUCGACCCCUUAAAAUCUGUGCACAGUGUCCGGACGAAGAUGCAGGACGCGUACAACCCGGAGAUUGAGUGUUGAUAAGAAGUUGGAAAAAGAAUCCCCUAACACCGAAGUGGGAAAGACUGUAUCAAGUCUUACUAACAACUGAUUCUGCAAUCCGAACCGCAGAGAAAGGAUGAACACAUGCAAGUCGAAUUAAGAGACCUGUGGAGCCACAAAAAACAAACUAAUAACUAGAAAGUGGUUAGCCCGGCUGGGGACCUGAGACUUAAAAUAUCCUGG
Molecule: non-coding RNA, 344 nt
Organism: Cyanistes caeruleus (blue tit)
Lineage: Eukaryota; Metazoa; Chordata; Aves; Passeriformes; Paridae
Source: RefSeq, a predicted model, not a curated record